GAGACCGAUAGCGAACAAGUAGAGUGAUCGAAAGGUUAAAAGCACCUUGAAAAGGGAGUUAAACAGCACGUGAAAUUGUUGAAAGGGAAGCGCUUGCGGCCAGACUCGGGGGCGGGGUUCAGCGGGUGCUCGUCGCCCGUGUACUCCUCGUCUCCCGGGCCAGCAUCAGUUUCGACGGCCGGUCAAAGGCCCCCGGAAUGUGUCGUCUCUCGGGACGUCUUAUAGCCGGGGGUGCAAUGCGGCCCGUCGGGACUGAGGAACGCGCUCCGGCUCGGAUGCUGGCGUAAUGGCCGUAAGCGGCCCGUCUUGAAACACGGACC
RNAcentral lists this ribosomal RNA (320 nucleotides) under Trichophyton benhamiae. Its description in RNAcentral is "LSU rRNA". It matches the Rfam family "Eukaryotic large subunit ribosomal RNA", at positions 330 to 667 of the family's 3401-position model. The record is from RNAcentral. Lineage: Eukaryota; Fungi; Ascomycota; Eurotiomycetes; Onygenales; Arthrodermataceae.